GUCCCUGCCCCCCUCCAAUCCCUCUCCGUUCAGUUCACUUUGCUUUAUUAUAACAAGGAAAUUAGUAGCAAACACGUAAGCAUCACAAUAAAAAAAACAAUGUUGGAAAGGAAAUGUAUUUUAUUGCGAUGGUCUUCACCUGGAGUUCCCACGGUAAAUGUGUUCACGACUGAAGCACGUAACUGUCUUCCCUUAGAAAAAUUAACGUUUGAUCUGCAUGAAAUUUCAAAGGGAUUCUGGAAUUUUUGGACACCCUUCUGGAAUUCAUUACACGCUGGAAUGUGAUCGCACCUGUGAAAUUUUCUAACUCUUCAUGUAUGUGGAUGUUUUUGCAAUUCUGCAAAUGCACCGUUUCUACCUCUUUGUUGCUGUGACCCACCGCUGUUCCGUUGUUAAGAAAAAGUAACAACGGUAAACAGCAGAAGCGGAGCAGCACAGCAACCGCGAGACGUUCUCCUUCUCUGCUCCCCCCACCCUCCCGAGCUGCACGUCGGCCACCCUUCUCCCUGCAGGAGGCCACGUGGGGGCGGCCAUGCGUGACUGCACCGCGCCAUCAGCUGGGCUACGCUCGCCCGUACACGUGAGCUCAUCGCACUCCAGCGGGGAUGCUGUUUCUCCCCUAAACAGCUUGCUGGAGGACUGAAGGCUCUCCCGUCUGCAGAGGCGCAAAGCAGCCUGAAUCCACGGCCUGGAGCCCGCACGCUGGAGUGGGGUUCGAGGGGACUGGAUGGCCCUUAUCGACAAGCUGCCAGCCUUGUUCAUUUCAGCAGCCUUUCCUCCAGCCAUGAGAGCCUUGCAGAACAAGAGGAUCUUUAAGCUGUACUACCAACAUCCAUCCAUCGACAGCAACCGCUUGCCCCGAGCAACGAACCGGAGCCUAACCCGGCAACAAAGGGACGCAAGGCCGGAGGGGGAGGGGACACACCCAGGACGGGACACCAGUCCAUUGCAAGGCACCCCAACCAGGACUCGAACCCCAGACCCGCCACACAGUGGGCACUGGCUGAACCCGCUGCACCACCGUGCCGCGUACCACCAACGUUUUUCUCCAAAGUGAUGUACAUCUCAGAGAACAGUAAGAACAGUGCUUUACAUCAACAGAAGGAGCGAUUUGGAUGCAGACACGUGAUUCUAGACUACAGUCAAUUUGUCGCAUCCCACCAUAUGGACCGUUAGACAUCACACGAGGAGCUGCAUAAAAGGUUUAUCCAUUAUUCAAAAAUUAUUAAACAGUCAUACGACCUGUUUCUGCACAAUACAAACUACAGCUGUGCAUUUUCUAUUAAAAAAAAAAAAAAAGGCAAACUCUUAACAGCUGGCUGGAAACCAGCACACCUCUUCAUCAAGAAUUCAGUUACGCAAUUUAUAAUGUGAUGUUUUCAGGAAUGUACUUAUCUCAACUAUCAUUCUUGGCAAAACAAGCCUGCAAACCUAGGAUGAGCAGAAAAGAGAACGCAACAGCAGAUGGGACCUUCAAACAGGUUACUCCCAGAACAUCAGGGGUGUGUAAUUGGGGUGGGGGGGGGUCAUGAAUGACAACAUUACCAUGAGGAGACAUGUG
Molecule: long non-coding RNA, 1561 nt
Filed under: Scleropages formosus (Asian bonytongue)
Lineage: Eukaryota; Metazoa; Chordata; Actinopteri; Osteoglossiformes; Osteoglossidae
Description: lncRNA (ENSSFOG00015031118.1)
Source: RNAcentral